AGGGCGGGCUGCCCUUAACAUGCAAGUCGAACGGUAACAGGGAGCUUGCUCCGCUGACGAGUGGCGAACGGGUGAGUAAUACAUCGGAACGUGCCCAGUAAUGGGGGAUAGCUCGGCGAAAGCCGGAUUAAUACCGCAUACGCCCUGAGGGGGAAAGUGGGGGACCGCAAGGCCUCACGUUAUUGGAGCGGCCGAUGGCUGAUUAGCUAGUUGGUAGGGUAAAGGCCUACCAAGGCGACGAUCAGUAGCUGGUCUGAGAGGACGAUCAGCCACACUGGGACUGAGACACGGCCCAGACUCCUACGGGAGGCAGCAGUGGGGAAUUUUGGACAAUGGGGGAAACCCUGAUCCAGCAAUGCCGCGUGUGCGAAGAAGGCCUUCGGGUUGUAAAGCACUUUUGUCAGGGAAGAAAUCCUUUGGGCUAAUACCCUAGGGGGAUGACGGUACCUGAAGAAUAAGCACCGGCUAACUACGUGCCAGCAGCCGCGGUAAUACGUAGGGUGCAAGCGUUAAUCGGAAUUACUGGGCGUAAAGCGUGCGCAGGCGGUUGUGUAAGACAGGUGUGAAAUCCCCGGGCUUAACCUGGGAAUUGCAUUUGUGACUGCACGAC
RNAcentral lists this ribosomal RNA (610 nucleotides) under Limnobacter sp. Its description in RNAcentral is "bacterial SSU rRNA". It matches the Rfam family "Bacterial small subunit ribosomal RNA", at positions 36 to 641 of the family's 1533-position model. Lineage: Bacteria; Pseudomonadati; Pseudomonadota; Betaproteobacteria; Burkholderiales; Burkholderiaceae. The record is from RNAcentral.